GUUUCAGAGAGGAAGUACAUGCUUCCACUUGCUGCUGCCCUGAAUGAAGGUCAAACUUGUUAACUAAGUUCUUCCAUGAUCAGAGUCUGGGCCGCUGGAGGAUGAAGUUAUGAGCCGAUAUAUCUGGAAGCAGUGGCGCAGACCUCGGAAUGGACCCGUGGAACAGUUAAAGGGCUGACUGCAGCCUGCCAUCUGUGCACAACCAGAAGCGUGAGCUCUCCAGAGAUCAGAGCCAGACGGUGGAAACCGCAGCAGCAGGAUCGAAUGUGUACACCCAGUUCCCCCCUCCUGCUGCAGGAGUCUCUGUGGAG
RNAcentral lists this long non-coding RNA (311 nucleotides) under Sinocyclocheilus grahami. RNAcentral describes it as "lncRNA (ENSSGRG00000025976.1)". Lineage: Eukaryota; Metazoa; Chordata; Actinopteri; Cypriniformes; Cyprinidae. The record is from RNAcentral.